Molecule: non-coding RNA, 271 nt
Organism: Pelobates cultripes (western spadefoot toad)
Lineage: Eukaryota; Metazoa; Chordata; Amphibia; Anura; Pelobatidae
Source: the annotation of a GenBank genome assembly
UUGCAUGGGGAAUUGUAUAAAUUGUGGAGCUGUGAAUAAAGACCUCAGUUGACUCCCAGCCUAUGUGUCGUCUAGUUCUUGGGAAGGAAAGGUUACUACAGUGCUACUUGGAUUAUUGCAUGCUGAUUUCCCUGGAUUAUCCUUUGUUGUUCCUGUUACCCAGCGGAGAUAUUGUGGAUUAUACUGCCUCUCCGCUACACCAUACCUUAUUCCUUCUGCUUUACCCUCCCUAGUUGGGGUUUUUUCUCCUCUCUGCUUUAGUCAUUUGUUU